UUGCACUAAAUGAAACUAGAUACAAGCGAGCGGCGGACGGGUGAGUAACACGUGGGUAACCUGCCCAAGAGACUGGGAUAACACCUGGAAACAGAUGCUAAUACCGGAUAACAACACUAGACGCAUGUCUAGAGUUUGAAAGAUGGUUCUGCUAUCACUCUUGGAUGGACCUGCGGUGCAUUAGCUAGUUGGUAAGGUAACGGCUUACCAAGGCAAUGAUGCAUAGCCGAGUUGAGAGACUGAUCGGCCACAUUGGGACUGAGACACGGCCCAAACUCCUACGGGAGGCAGCAGUAGGGAAUCUUCCACAAUGGACGAAAGUCUGAUGGAGCAACGCCGCGUGAGUGAAGAAGGGUUUCGGCUCGUAAAGCUCUGUUGGUAGUGAAGAAAGAUAGAGGUAGUAACUGGCCUUUAUUUGACGGUAAUUACUUAGAAAGUCACGGCUAACUACGUGCCAGCAGCCGCGGUAAUACGUAGGUGGCAAGCGUUGUCCGGAUUUAUUGGGCGUAAAGCGAGUGCAGGCGGUUCAAUAAGUCUGAUGUGAAAGCCUUCGGCUCAACCGGAGAAUUGCAUCAGAAACUGUUGAACUUGAGUGCAGAAGAGGAGAGUGGAACUCCAUGUGUAGCGGUGGAAUGCGUAGAUAUAUGGAAGAACACCAGUGGCGAAGGCGGCUCUCUGGUCUGCAACUGACGCUGAGGCUCGAAAGCAUGGGUAGCGAACAGGAUUAGAUACCCUGGUAGUCCAUGCCGUAAAACGAUGAGUGCUAAGUGUUGGGAGGUUUCCGCCUCUCAGUGCUGCAGCUAACGCAUUAAAGCACUCCGCCUGGGGAGUACGACCGCAAGGUUGAAACUCAAAGGA
Molecule: ribosomal RNA, 858 nt
Filed under: uncultured bacterium
Lineage: Bacteria
Description: bacterial SSU rRNA
Rfam family: Bacterial small subunit ribosomal RNA
Source: RNAcentral